GCUUUCUGCCGUUUCCACUCUGAGAUAACGAGCGGAGCUUGCCGGAGAACGACCGAUCCUUGCAAGAGCGAGAGAAGAAUCACCCAAAGGAUAGAGGGUGGUAGUAACCAUCCGAGUGACAACAAUCCAUCGCUGCCGCCGCGGUCAGUUCCGAUUAUUGUGCCGUGGUGGGCUCCCUGUGUUGGUGUGUCUGGAGAGCAUUCCAGUUGGAGUCUGAAGAACGGAUACUGGUGAAGAAGAUGAAGAAAUAAGAAGAUAACGGUGCACAGAAGGAGCAAAAAGAAAAGUGUGGGUGAUAAAGGGAACAGACAGUUUUCGUUUUGACAUAUAUACUUAUCGAGAAAGGACACAACAGGCGAUGCCCAGCGAGAAAGGUAUCUCCCAGUCGAGGAAAGUGCCACGUGAAUAAUUUAGAGUGUACGAUUGCUCUUUUAUUUUUAGAAUAUCGUGAAAAACUGUGAAAAGCUUAGGGAUUUGUGCGGUUUCUGAAUUAUAGAAAGGGAUAAAGAGUUUUGUAUUUACCUACAAAUAACAAGUGCGGGUCUCAAAUAGAGUGUGUGAGUGAGAGUUAAGGGAGUUUAGAGGAGCCAGAACAGACGAAGGAUACGGAAAGUUGGGUGGGGAUGAGGUGGUCCACCGUCCUAGCUGUUUUCGUCGUUGUCUCUAAACUGUAUUCAGACAGCGCCAGCAAAGUGGACGAAACCAGGUGCUGCAAUCUGCUGAUUGGCCGCUGUACCAACAAUGAGGAGUGGUAGCUCAGAACUUCUGCUCGAACAACAAGCAGAAGAGCUACGAAAGAAAAAGCUGCUGGAACUAGCGGCUGCCAAGAAAGCAAAAAAUGGUCCCGCACCGAAGCGAACGCUGCGCGAAAAUGCCAGCUUCUAUACGACUUCCAGUUUGGCGUUCCUCUCGGUGACAGCCGGAGCUUCGCUGUUAUUCCUGGUUCCUCUCUAUGUCGAUCCGGCGAUCUCGACGCUGGUCGGCGACUUCGUCGAGCAGCCCACAAUGUGUGUUACGACGCGGCGCGAAGAUAUGACCGGGCUGUUCAACUGCUCGUGGAGUUCGUGUCGCGAAGGUUGCACCUCGGAUGUGUUCAAGUGCACUCAUAUCUAUGUGACGUUCAUCGACGAUCUGAACUUUACGUUCCCUUUUAAUGCGACGCCCUCGGAGCUGUUCAAUCUGACCGAUAUCGAGCGAUCGGAGGAAGCGAUCCUUUUGGUGAACAUAAAAGGCUGCGGUUACCCACCGACGGUCAAGUGCAAAAACUUCACCGAUCUGUACGGCUUCGAGGGCGCAGUGUUUCCAUGUUACUACUCGAAGCAGAAUAAAACGGUCGUGAUGACUGCGUACAACCGGGAGGAGCAGUUGCAGACGAUCAUACACUUUUUCGUGAUUCCAUUCAUCAUUACGGUCGUCUCGUCGGUGUUUCUUUGCGUAAUGCACUGUGAUUGUAGAUGUAAGAAGGAGCGACGACGACGGCAUCGACACCGACGGCCUAGGAUAGAGAAUCUAAGUGAUUCAUCGAUAUCGACCCGAGUCGAUAUGCUGACGCCCGCGAUCGAAGUAUACAAACCACCCCUCUGACACAAGGAUGACACCCUGGAGAGCAACCUCGGCAAUCCAUCGACCAGUAGCGAUCUAUGACGAGGUGCACUGUUGCUGGCGGUACGCCACUGUUGCCUGAACUAGUAGCGAGGCUCUUCCCCACCACAGCACGUCAUCUUGUGAGCGUACCGUACAUCGAACGUUACUUUCCGAACGAUGGUGAUCCGCUUCAUCAGGUGAAUCCUGCCGCCCAUCGGUGGUAAGUUUUGCCAAGGUAAAGAUGAGGACGACUGAGCCGAUAAAAUCAUUUAUGGGCUACCAUCGAAGGUGGACAGCUGAACAGCCAGACACACACGACUAUCUAACAGUUCAGCACCAUUGCCGAUUACCGACAACAGUAGCAGCAUGAAGAUGAAAUAGAAGCAUACAAUCUAUGUAAGCUAGAGUCACCUGAGAAGAAUGGCGUAAAACAUAGCAAAAAAUAACAGCAGCAGUAGCGAGUCUAUAAAACAAAAAAAAAAGAAACUGUCUCUUCUGGGUGUCAAAUUAAGCAGCAAAUCGAUCUAAUAGGAUUAAAUUCAAUUGACUAAAGAAAUGGAUAUAGUCGAUAACAGAAACAGAGCUAUAAACUAAGUAGCAACACUAAGUAAAAUCCCAUGUAAGUUAAAUCUAUACAUACCCACACAAACGUACCGUACACACAUACAGAGAAACCAAUCUUACAUAUACGACAGGAGUAACUCGCAUCGGACGAGUAUAGGAAUGAUUUGUGAACUGACAAGGAGAAGCGUACAUCCGAAUAGCAAAUAAUCUAACCGUAAGAGGGAAAAUUAGUCUAAGUAGGAUUAAACAAGGUAAACCGUAGGAUUUAAAAUUAUACACAAUUGGUUUGGGCUAGCUGCGAUGGCUGAGGGCCGCAGGCGAAUGGGUUACGUGAACUAUUUUGGAAUUGAAUUGAGCGAGGUUUUUGUGCAAUGUUAUCAUUUGUUACAUUCGUUAAUCAUUUGGCGAAUGUGAAAACGCUCAUGUCCACUCAUGGUUGAUUAGAGCUUGAAUAUUAGGGUUAUUAUGGAGACUCAAGAUUUGGCAAUUAUAUUUCUAACCUCUAGCCAAACUCAGGCAUAUUACACAAUCUCUGUUUUCAUAAAAAGAAAAUUCGUGUGUGUUUAUUUCUCUUUAAGAAACAUAGUAAUAUUUAUUUGAACUCCGAUGAUCUUCUCUAUUUUAAUUCAUAUUUGUACCAAUAUGCUUGUUUGAAUAAAAUUAAUAUUUUAUUAGUUAUUGUGGAUAUGCAGACAUGGGUUUGACAUGCAGCACAAUCAUGAUAAAACCAACAAUGUUGAUACUGCUCAAUCGCUAUGUUACAGCCGAACAAUAGUAAAAUAAUUCACAUGUACCAUCGCCGGAUGUAUUAUCACAGAUAAGCACACAUUAUUCUUCGAACAUCGAAACUAUCGCAAAAACAUGUUCACCCUAUGUUGAUCAUCAUCAAGUGGAAACCAGGUGGAGAUAGUGCGCUAAUUUUUAACUCAUAUAAAGUCGGUACGAACGGGUCGUCGACCACUAAACCAUGGCAACAAAACGAUUAUCGGAAUUCACGUGAUGCAUUCUCAUGAUGAGUAUUCUCUAUGACUGUCACGUUUGCUUAUAUGUGAUAAAACUUGAAAUCAUCAUCCAGCUAGUUAUAAACUUAAUAAAAAAAACAACAACAUCAAGAGAUUCAUACGCAAAGACAGCAAAACAGAAAACCCCAUUCGUUCUAAGUUUUCUUUAGUGGUAGCGCAUUUGAGAACAUAAGUCGGAAAAUAAUUAAUUAACUCGAAACACAUUUCAAAGAAACAAUUAGGCAAGCAAUCGAAAUUUUAUUCCCAAUCUCGGUAAAAUAGGAUACUCAAAAUCGGAGGAAAAGUCUCUGCAAUUGGCGAGAAAACUGAACAAAACAGCAAUAAUUACAAUUGGUCACAUACUUUAUGUAGCAAAAUUUUCAUUCUUAGGUUUUAAAACGAAUUUCACGUUCACAUUAGUUGCCGAGUGCGCUUCAAACUGCUAAUAAUUGUGCGCGUAGUAGAGUUACAUAUGAGGGAAACGAUGACCAUACAAAAUCAGUGUAAGAGCAGCGAAACCGGAUUAGUUUCUUUCAUCAAGAUCGAUGCAAUUAAAAGCCUUUGAACACUAGAAA
This is an RNA transcript of Armigeres subalbatus, 3724 nucleotides long. It is a transcript of the gene named protein tipE-like, with no coding region annotated. NCBI's taxonomy places the organism in Eukaryota, Metazoa, Arthropoda, Insecta, Diptera, Culicidae. The record is from RefSeq and is a predicted model, not a curated record. The transcript has 3 exons.